CCGGCCUUAGCUCAGUUGGUAGUAGCGGCAGACUGUAGUGAGAUAUGUCUCUCAGGCAUCUGUAGGUCCCUGGUUCGACUCCGGGAGGCCGGA
Non-coding RNA from Quaeritorhiza haematococci, 93 nucleotides. Lineage: Eukaryota; Fungi; Chytridiomycota; Chytridiomycetes; Quaeritorhizaceae. The record is from the annotation of a GenBank genome assembly.